Molecule: ribosomal RNA, 497 nt
Filed under: uncultured bacterium
Lineage: Bacteria
Description: partial 16S ribosomal RNA
Rfam family: Bacterial small subunit ribosomal RNA
Source: RNAcentral
GAUGAACGCUGGCGGCGUGCCUAAUACAUGCAAGUCGAGCGAACGGACGAGAAGCUCGCUUCUCUGAUGUUAGCGGCGGACGGGUGAGUAACACGUGGAUAACCUACCUAUAAGACUGGGAUAACUUCGGGAAACCGGAGCUAAUACCGGAUGAUAUUUUGAACCGCAUGGUUCAACAGUGAAAGACGGUCUUGCUGUCACUUAUAGAUGGAUCCGCGCUGCAUUAGCUAGUUGGUAAGGUAACGGCUUACCAAGGCAACGAUGCAUAGCCGACCUGAGAGGGUGAUCGGCCACACUGGAACUGAGACACGGUCCAGACUCCUACGAGAGACAGCAGGAGGGAAUCUUCCGCAAUGGGCGUAAGCCUGACGGAGCAACGCCGCGUGAGUGAUGAAGGUCUUCGGAUCGUAAAACACUGUUAUUAGGGAAGAACAUAUGCGUAAGUAACUGUGCACAUCUUGACGGUACCUAAUCAGAAAGCCACGGCUAACUACGUG